Molecule: long non-coding RNA, 5508 nt
Organism: Lycium barbarum (goji berry)
Lineage: Eukaryota; Viridiplantae; Streptophyta; Magnoliopsida; Solanales; Solanaceae
Exons: 5
Source: RefSeq, a predicted model, not a curated record
UUUUUUUUAGCAAUAAACUGUAAAGCAUUACCAUACCAACAAAAUAAAGGAAUCAGUACAUCUAAAAGGCCAUCCACAUACUUGGAUCCCUGAGUUGUCUCUAAUUACAAACCUCACAUAUAAAAUCUCUAUUUUUGCUACCUCUCUUUGAAUAUCUAAAUAUAUCGAUCCUUUCCCCAAUUACAAAUUGGAUUUGUUGUAAUAUUAGACUGCUAUGCACAUUCUUAUUCUGAAAAUUUUUGUUGUUCCUAGCCAUCCAAGUGUAAUAUAUCACUGCUCCAUAUACAGCUGCCAUUGUUUCUUUUUUGAAUCUCGUCCAGUGCUUCAUCUUGAUAGCUUGUAGAUCUUCCAUGGCUCCCCUGGAGUGUAUCUGUGUCUUUAAACAGCCAUGUACUGCAUCCCAUAUAUCCCUUGUCCAUGGGCAUCCUGAGAACAGGUGUGUGUCAUCCUAAGAGCUCUUGUAUUACACAUGACACACAAGUCAUCAUCCCUGCCUAGCCCAAUGUGCUUUAACCUCACUUUUGUAAAUAGUCUUCCUAGAGCAGCAAGCCAUAGAAUAAAUCUGUGCUUUGGCAUUGUAACUCAGUUCCAUAUAAGAUCUGCAUUCUCCAUUUUGGUAGCAUUUCCCAUCAACUGCAAGUACCCCAUUGUCACAGAAUAUUGCCCAUUAUUUGUUAGGCAAUAGUGGUCAUUUCUAUACCAGCUAACCAUUUUCAUUUUCAGUUUAUGCAAUCUCUUCCAAUACCAACUGUAGUCUGAAAGUGGAGUGUGUUCCCAAAAAUCUUCACCCAUUUGACCCAUAACAGGUCCUUCUUUUCCAUGACAAACCAGAUAAGUUUUCCCACUGAAGCUAUAUUCCACAUCUUGCACCCUUUAAUAUUCAGUCCCCUUUGCUGUUUGGGUCUGCAAAGUUUUUCCCAGGCAACUAGAGAAAUUUUCUUCUUUUCUUCAUUUCUUCCCCAUAAGAACUAUCUACAUCUCUUAUCCACUUCAUUUAAGACACUUUGUGGCAAUAAGAUGACUGCUCCCCAAAAGUUAUGCAAAGAAAAUAAUACAGAGUUGAUUAUCUGUAAUUUACCAGCAUAUGACAACUGUCUAGUGGAGACAACUCUUAUUUUCUCUGUAAUCCUCUUGCUAAGUUGAAAAAAAAAUCCAAAUUGCUCCAUUUCUUAGGUGACAAGGGGAAUCCUAAGUACCUAAUGGGAAAGUUUCCUGCAGCAUACCCUGUCAAUCUUAGUAGGCUCUCUUUAGUAUCAGUAUCCCCACCUGCUACAAACAUGUUUGACUUGUCUAUAUUAGCAACCAAGCCUGACACUUGUGAGAAGUGAUUCAAAUUCUCCAUGAUCCUCUUUACUGAUGCUUCAUGCCCUUUACAGAAUAUCAUCAAGUCAUCUGUAAAGAGUAAAUGAGUCAGCUCUUGAGCCUUACACAUAGGAUGAAAUCUGAAAGCAGGUAGUUGUGCCAUCUUUGUCAAUAUUCUGGUUAAGUACUCCAUGACUAGUACAAAUAAGAGGGGGGAAAUAGGGUCCCCUUGUUUCAAGCCCCUCUUACCCUCAAAGUAACCAUGACACUCUCUAUUUACGUUAAUUGAGAAUUUUGUUGUAGUUACACAAGUCAUGAUCAAGUGACAGAAUAUCGGGGGAAAACCAAACCCAUGCAGCAUCUCUGAUACAAACUCUCGCCUUACCAUAUCAUAAGCUUUCCUGAGAUCGAUUUUCAUCAUGCAUCUUGCUGAGGUUUUCUUGUUGUAGUGCCUCAAUAAAUCAUGGCAGAUUAAUACAUUGUGCAGUAAGGACCUGCCCUGGACAAAUGCUGCAUGUGUUUGGUUCACUAGGUGUGGCAGUACUUGCUUUAAUCUGCUGCAUAAUAGCUUGGAUAUGCACUUAUACACUACAUUACAACAAGCUAUUGGCCUGAACUGGCUUGUAUUUUCAGGUUUGUUUAUUUUGGGAAUAAGUGUAAUCACAGUGGCAUUUAGUUGUUGUAGUAGUUUCCCAUUUCUCAUAAAAUUCAGUACUGCAUCAGUCACCUCCUCUCUUGUUAUGGCCCAAGUAACCCUGAAAAACCCACUGCUAAACCCAUCUGGCCUUGGGCUUUUUGUAGUUUUGAUAUUAAAGAUGGCAUCCUUAACCUCUUUGCUUGUGUACUCCUUCAGUAGGCUCACUUGAUGUUUGGCAUUGAGUAAGUUUCCUUUUUUAAUUAACACCUCUGAUAUUUUUUUUGUCUGUCUUCUUCCCGGUUUGCUCGGAUCAACAUGUGGAGGAGGUAUUUCUCUCUCUAAAAUCGCCAUAGGAACUUCCCAAGAUUCUUCAGAAGGCACAAGAUUCAUUUCCUCACAGUAUUCAAUUAUGUAAUUCUCCACCUUAUAAUAUGGAGAUGAGUAGUCAUAAAUUCGCCAUCCAAAGUGUUCACCAUAUUGGACUUGACGCGCUACCAUAGCAUAUGGACAAGGUAUUUUGUCCAGGUCAAAAACUCUACAAGUAUAAGAUCUUCUUUGCAGAUCGUCUGUUGCAACCGUGGCCGAUGACGCUGAACUUGUAGUUGGCAAUUUGAUGGGCCAAUAACUUAUUUCCCAAGUUGACAAAUUUUGAUAUUUUUUUUUUCAUUGAGGGAACAAAGAUGGUUGGUGAGUCGAUGAACUCCAUACGCCUCUCAUGAAAUUUCUCAGUAAACCUCUUGUUUAUGGAAUCAAAUAGAGCAGUAAUGAGAUAUUCUCUUUUAACAUUGAACAUUGAGUUCAUUGACUCAGCAGCGUUUGUCGUCAUAAAAUUAUACCUGACAAAACAAACAUAUUAGUGUUGGAACAGGUGGCUCAGCUGUUGGAAAAAUCACAACAAGUAGAAUAUCUGUUGCAACAAGUAACCUGUUAGUUGCAGCAGAUGUGUUACUCAUUAGAAACAGAAAUGUGCAAAUACCUAUUUUCGGGGCAGAAUGCCCUGCUCCAUCUGUGGAAUCCAGCACGUUCAAGAUGUUCGGCGGCCCCAGGAACCAAAUCUCUUAUUCGAUUGAAAUGGUCAUUGAAGACAUCAAUAUUGUACGAUUUUGCUGCUUUAUAAAAUUGAGAUACGACCGCUCCAUUGUGAAAGGUGGUUCUCUGAUUUUUCCCUAGGUGCCUCAUGCAAAAACCAUAAUGACAUGUAGGGAAGACAAUUGAAACUGCCUUUUUGAUACUUGGAUGUCUAUCAGAAAUUAUGCACAACUCAGGGGUAUCCUCUAUAUAGCUUCUCAUUUGUUCAAAAAAAUAUUUGUACGAAGCAUCACACUCCUUGUCCACUACACAAAAUGCCACCGAAAAAAUAUGAUUCUCCGCAUCUUGUGCGACUGCUGACAACAACACUCCUUCGUACUUGCUCCUUAAGAAUGUCCCAUUGACAGCUAUGACUUUUUUCAUUUGUGCAAAACCAAGCGUCCAAGCCUUAUAGGCUACAAAAAAGUACUUGAAAUUCCCAUUUUCAUCAACCUUCAAUGUCGUCUUACUUCCUGGAUUUGCAGAACGAAGCAUAUAAUGGUACGCAUCAAGCACCGCAUACCCGUGCUCAUGUGUCCCCCUUGUCAAAGCCUUUGCAAUCUCCAUGCCCUUCCAGACCUUCCAAUAACUUACCUUACAACCCAAUUUUGUACGGAUGGAUUGAAUCAUAUUUUUUGUAGAUGGGCCUUUACCAUAAGGAAAAUUAUCUUUGAAGUAUUCACCAAUGACUUUCGCUGUGGCAUGUGGAUGGCUCGUAAUGUGCUCAGAACCACAUGUGUGAUGCUUUAUGUAGGUUCUGAUACAAAAUCUGUCAUAACUUAAAAGCUUCACAGCCCUCAGCCACCACUUGCACUCCGGAUGUACACAUCUGAAGCAAUACACAGUACACGAAUUAAUCACCUUCUUGAUUCAAAAAUCUUUCUUCAAGCAAGAAAGUUUGUUGGUUAAAGGUUCUUUUCUAAGAAUGCCAAGUUAGUUUUAUGGCGUCUUUGAUAUGUAUAUGUUUAUGAUUAGUUAUCAAUGCAUCUUGUGAGUUGAUCCAGUUUUGUCUAACUUAAAGUUAGUCCUUAGUGGUAGGGAUAAUUAAUAGCUAAUCAUUCAAAUCACUGGACCUAAUUAUAACACAUAAUAUUUAGAUUCAAAUAAACCUUUUGACUCACUUAAAUGUACCUUAGGGAUUAGAUGACUGAACUAGGUGAUAUAUAUUAGCUUAAGGAUUGUAGGCAUUGAUUAAAACUGGAAAGUGAGAAAGACUCCAAGUAGGUGUUUGUUACACCUCGUAGUUUUGGACGUUGAGGUUCGUUAGGUGUUAGUUGUUUUAAUUGCGAUCUAGAGUGAUAUGCGCCUAUCUUAUGGUUAUGAGGGUUUAAGACCAUGUAUCAGAGGUAUCGAAAGGAUUGGAGGUCGAUCGGGCGAAAAAGAAAAAUUUGGCCGAACUGGAAAAAAUUGCCAUACGCGUUCGCGAUAAAGCCGCGCGUUCAUGAUGGCCAUAGAAAUUCCAGACCAUCGCGUUCGCGAGAGGCCCUUGCGUUCGCGAAGGCCAAUUAUUAAGUCGGUUCCACCGACUUUAACCCCCUAUAUAAAGGGUAAAACCCCUUUUUUUCACCAAAUUAUUUCCCAAAAACUCAGAAAACAGAUAGGGGUAUGAGGAUAACAUAAAAUUGAGUGAUUUUGAAGUGGCGGAGUAUUAGUUUAGGUUCGGAUAGCGCACAGUUGUGAUUGUAGUAUCGUUUUGCGGUGAAUUUUGGCUUGGAUUCAAGGCGAACAUUGAAGAUAUUGUUGUUUUAGUAAGAAUAAGGAAUAAAAGUAGUUUAAUUUGAAAGCGGCAGCACAAGUAUACGACGACAAGUCUAACGAUAGUAUGAAUUCUUUCGAAUGUAGAUUUACGAGCUUGGAAGGAUAAGCGUAGGUAGUAGGAGCCCGAACAGGCACAUUUGACAGGGGGUGACGAUGUGGCCUUUGUUGUGGCAUUUAUAUACAUAAGGCACAUUUGACAGGGGGUGACGAUGUGGCCUUUGUUGUGGCGUUUAUAUACAUGAGGUACAUUUGACAAGGGGUGACGAUGUGGCCUUGUUGUGGCGUUUAUAUAUAUAAGGUUCAGGUAGACAGAGAGACGGUCCAACUCAGUAGGAUUUCGCCUCAGCUGUAGUCGGUGCGCUCCACUCAAUCCGGAGUUGGGGUCUAUUUUGGUGCGUUAUUUUGGGAUUUAUAUGCAUAUAUGGGUAUGACAGGAGCCCUGUCCCGUCCUUUCCACAGCUUGUACUUCAUUAGAGGACCACUCGGGUCAGGAUCAGCUUGCCUAUUGGGCCUUAGGCCUAAUAAGGAAAUUCUUUCUCCAAAGAUAUUGAGUCCGCAAAGAUGGAAUUAAAUAGCCGGUGUGCAGAAGGCCCAGGCAUGGGUAAAAAUGGCCAACUAGGGGCUUAGUACGCCCCUAGUGUUCCUCUAUCCUUUAUGGGUGAAAUUAAACUAAGUUUUCAGAUUCAAACCAAGACUAAGGAUAAAUUUUUUGGGCCAGAUUCAAAUAAAGAAAUUUGGCAAAA